AAAAUUGUUCUUAAGCUUCUGGGGAUUGGACGAAUUGAUUUGGUAGAAUAAUUGUAAUAAAUUUCUGACCUUGGUGGAAGUUCUCGCUGUAGAUGAAGAAAGGUAUGGUAAUCACUUCUCCUCUUCUUCUAAACCUGCAAUUAAAAAAUAAUAAUUUGGUCGGUUAAUGCUUCGCAACUUUUUUAAAAACUUCGGGCAAUGGUAAUCAUUUAUAGUUUGUUGGACAGAGAAGAGACAGAGUUUAUAUAAGAAAGUUCGUGUUUCGCACCUGUUAUUUGCGGCAACCCAUUGAAGGCUUCUCUGUAGACAAUAUUGGCGAUAGUGUUCGGCAAGCCAAUGGGGCGGGUAAUGUUCCAAACCUUAAGUCCUUUUGGGGCUCUGUUACUCUUGAUAGCGCCACGUAUAAUUGACCAUGAGUGAAAACAGGCUUCGGCAAUUUGGCCCUGACUUUUGUUAAUUGUCAUUGUGUAGGAUACUCUUACUGGAAACUGGCGUCUUUUGAGAGUGAAGGGAUGAUUGGACUCUGUGGGUGAGAGGACGAUUCUAGGUAUCAGGACAAGCUGCUUUCUUGUUGAAGAGGUAGGCACUUCUGCUUUAGUAAUUCUUUCUCCCAAGUGUGUGACUAUAAGUCUUGUACCAUUGCAUAACCCCUCAGCUUGGUUUAUGUUGCGAAUAAGCAUGCUUGGGACUCCAACUUUCAGGGUAAUUCUAUGCGCAGGUAAUCCUGGAAAUUCUAGUGAGUUGAGAUAUUCAAAUGGAUAGGAUAAAUCGAACUCUCCUGAAUGUUUUUCGUCUUCUGCGAAGCUGUCACAGCUUAAGUAUCCUUGCUCAGUUCCUGGAAUCUUGGAAAGCAAGUAAGUGUUGAUUUCAUCAACUGUAUCAUUCCUAGGAGUUAAUAUAGUUGUAUCUCUGAUUUUUUCCAAAUCCUUGUAGCCAUUUUCAAAAUCUGUGAAAACAGACUGACAGAGGAUAUCAAGUGGGUUUGAAGUAACGGGGAGGAGGAGAGAAUCGUUGAUCAGAAUUUGGUCUUCAGAAGUUUCAGAAUUCAUUUCUUUC
Molecule: long non-coding RNA, 1056 nt
Filed under: Brassica napus (rape)
Lineage: Eukaryota; Viridiplantae; Streptophyta; Magnoliopsida; Brassicales; Brassicaceae
Description: long non-coding RNA (BNAP_LNC015438)
Source: RNAcentral